Chlorocebus sabaeus (green monkey) is the source of this 109-nucleotide ribosomal RNA. The record is from Ensembl. Lineage: Eukaryota; Metazoa; Chordata; Mammalia; Primates; Cercopithecidae.
AUCUACAGCCAUACCACCCUGAACACACCUAAUCUUGUCUGAUCUUGGAAGCUAAGCAGGGUCCGGUCUGGUUAGUACUUGGAUGGGAGAAAAAUGAUAUCUGUAGGAA